GAUGAACGCUGGCGGCGUGCCUAAUACAUGCAAGUCGAACGCUUCACUUCGGUGAAGAGUGGCGAACGGGUGAGGAAUACAUAAGUAACCUGGCAUCUACAGGGGGAUAACUGAUGGAAACGUCAGCUAAGACCGCAUAGGUGUAGAGAUCGCAUGAACUCUAUAUGAAAAGUGCUACGGGACUGGUAGAUGAUGGACUUAUGGCGCAUUAGCUUGUUGGUAGGGUAACGGCCUACCAAGGCGACGAUGCGUAGCCGACCUGAGAGGGUGACCGGCCACACUGGGACUGAGACACGGCCCAGACUCCUACGGGAGGCAGCAGUAGGGAAUUUUCGGCAAUGGGGGAAACCCUGACCGAGCAACGCCGCGUGAAGGAAGAAGUAAUUCGUUAUGUAAACUUCUGUCAUAGAGGAAGAACGGUGGAUAUAGGGAAUGAUAUCCAAGUGACGGUACUCUAUAAGAAAGCAACGGCUAACUACGUG
Molecule: ribosomal RNA, 482 nt
Filed under: uncultured bacterium
Lineage: Bacteria
Description: partial 16S ribosomal RNA
Rfam family: Bacterial small subunit ribosomal RNA
Source: RNAcentral